RNAcentral lists this ribosomal RNA (873 nucleotides) under Brevibacterium casei. RNAcentral's name for it is "bacterial SSU rRNA". It matches the Rfam family "Bacterial small subunit ribosomal RNA", at positions 501 to 1368 of the family's 1533-position model. The record is from RNAcentral. Lineage: Bacteria; Bacillati; Actinomycetota; Actinomycetes; Micrococcales; Brevibacteriaceae.
CUACGUGCCAGCAGCGCGUAUACGUAGGGUACGAGCGUGUCCGGGAACUAUUCGGCCGUAAAGAGCUCGUAGGGUGGUUGGUCACGUCUGCUGUGGAAACGCAAACGCUUAAACGUUGCGCGUGCAGUGGGUACGGGCUGACUAGAGUGCAGUAGGGGAGUCUGGAAUUCCUGGUGUAGCGGUGAAAUGCGCAGAUAUCAGGAGGAACACCGGUGGCGAAGGCGGGACUCUGGGCUGUAACUGACACUGAGGAGCGAAAGCAUGGGGAGCGAACAGGAUUAGAUACCCUGGUAGUCCAUGCCGUAAACGUUGGGCACUAGGUGUGGGGGGCAUUCCACGUUCUCCGCGCCGUAGCUAACGCAUUAAGUGCCCCGCCUGGGGAGUACGGUCGCAAGGCUAAAACUCAAAGGAAUUGACGGGGGCCCGCACAAGCGGCGGAGCAUGCGGAUUAAUUCGAUGCAACGCGAAGAACCUUACCAAGGCUUGACAUACACCGGACCGUCCUGGAAACAGGUCUUCUUCUUUGAAGCUGGUGUACAGGUGGUGCAUGGUUGUCGUCAGCUCGUGUCGUGAGAUGUUGGGUUAAGUCCCGCAACGAGCGCAACCCUCGUUCUAUGUUGCCAGCAUGUGAUGGUGGGAACUCAUAGGAGACUGCCGGGGUCAACUCGGAGGAAGGUGGGGAUGACGUCAAAUCAUCAUGCCCUUUAUGUCUUGGGCUUCACGCAUGCUACAAUGGCUGGUACAGAGAGAGGCGAACCCGUGAGGGCAAGCGAAUCCCUUAAAGCCAGUCUCAGUUCGGAUCGUAGUCUGCAAUUCGACUACGUGAAGUCGGAGUCGCUAGUAAUCGCAGGUCAGGAACGGUCCCGAUGACGG